GAUGAACGCUGGCGGCGUGCCUAAUACAUGCAAGUCGAGCGAACGGACGAGAAGCUUGCUUCUCUGAUGUUAGCGGCGGACGGGUGAGUAACACGUGGAUAACCUACCUAUAAGACUGGGAUAACUUCGGGAAACCGGAGCUAAUACCGGAUAAUAUUUUGAACCGCAUGGUUCAAAAGUGAAAGACGGUCUUGCUGUCACUUAUAGAUGGAUCCGCGCUGCAUUAGCUAGUUGGUAAGGUAACGGCUUACCAAGGCAACGAUGCAUAGCCGACCUGAGAGAGUGAUAGGCCACACUGGAACUGAGACACGGUCCAGACUACUGCGGGAGGCAGCAGUAGGGUAUCUUCCGCAAUGGGCGAAAGCCUGACGGAGCAACGCCGCGUGAGUGAUGAAGGUCUUCCGAUCGUAAAACUCUGUUAUUAGGGAAGAACAUAUGUGUAAGUAACUGUGCACAUCUUGACGGUACCUAAUCAGAAAGCCACGGCUAACUACGUG
This 497-nucleotide ribosomal RNA is filed under the name uncultured bacterium. RNAcentral's name for it is "partial 16S ribosomal RNA". It matches the Rfam family "Bacterial small subunit ribosomal RNA", at positions 28 to 507 of the family's 1533-position model. The record is from RNAcentral.